CGGAGUGGCGGACGGGGUGAGUAAUGUCUGGGAAACUGCCUGAUGGAGGGGGAGUAACUACUGGAAACGGUAGCUAAUACCGCAUAACGUCGCAAGACCAAAGAGGGGGACCUUCGGGCCUCUUGCCAUCAGAUGUGCCCAGAUGGGAUUAGCUAGUAGGUGGGGUAACGGCUCACCUAGGCGACGAUCCCUAGCUGGUCCGAGAGGAUGACCAGCCACACUGGAACUGAGACACGGUCCAGACUCCUACGGGAGGCAGCAUG
Molecule: ribosomal RNA, 263 nt
Filed under: uncultured bacterium
Lineage: Bacteria
Description: partial 16S ribosomal RNA
Rfam family: Bacterial small subunit ribosomal RNA
Source: RNAcentral